This is a long non-coding RNA of Rhincodon typus (whale shark), 936 nucleotides long. RefSeq lists it as uncharacterized. The record is from RefSeq and is a predicted model, not a curated record. Lineage: Eukaryota; Metazoa; Chordata; Chondrichthyes; Orectolobiformes; Rhincodontidae. The transcript has 2 exons.
GGAUCGAGACGGUGUCGGAGGGGAGGGGCCGAUGGGUCAGGGGGCGGGGCCGGAGGGCGAGUAGGUGAGGCCGAAUAGUCGGUGUGGGGUCUCAAUGAACACGGGAAGAAGCGCGAUGUGGAGGUUGUGGGUCCUCAGGUUAAUGUGUGAAGGAAAUCUCCUGGUCUACAUGUGACUCCAGAUUCACAGCAAUAUGGCUGACUGCCCUCUGAAAUGGUUUAACAAGCUACUCAGUUCAAGGGUAAUUAGGAUGGGCAACAAAUACUGGCUCUGCCAGUGACUCCAAUUAAAUACAUGUUCAAAGAAUUCCUCGCAGUGACCCCACCUCUCCAAACCCAUCCCAGAAACUGAGGGAGGGUUUCAGUUGCCUAUUGCUAAGGAACUCUUACCCGAAGUUCACCUGUCUAAACACUGAAUGUUACGGAUCUUUUCUAAAAUAAAACUGUUAGAUACGAUGUAGGAUGCAGAGUAACAAAAAUCUUAAAGGAAAUUGCAGCAAUGAGCACCAGGACUGCUUUUUAUCAACUCUCACUUCAUAAUCUCCUGAUUUUAAGCUAGGCAAAUGUAUAAAUGACAGUUGGUAGUUAGCACUGCAGCCCAGACAUAUGUGUAACCAAAAUGUAAAACAUUCACCUGGUUUAAAAGAUGACACAUUGUUGGAUAUUGUGAUUUAAGUACAACACUGCUGAUUCUUCUCAAUCUUUUACAAACAAUAGUUGAUCCCUCAGCCUGAAUACAGAUCUCCCACAAAUCUGUUCAAGGUCCAAAUUACAGAACUUUAGGAAAAAAAACUCUUAAUAGUUGCUCAGGAAUGUUCUUCAAAUUGAACAUUUUUAAACAUGUUUAACACUUAUCCUGUGAGCUUGUUUUGUUUGGUAUUCUGUUUGUGGCAUGGUUGUAUAUCACAUUAAAAAUGGAAAUGUUACCCUGACUGUA